This 465-nucleotide ribosomal RNA is filed under the name uncultured bacterium. RNAcentral's name for it is "partial 16S ribosomal RNA". It matches the Rfam family "Bacterial small subunit ribosomal RNA", at positions 29 to 507 of the family's 1533-position model. The record is from RNAcentral.
AUGCACGCUGGCGGCGUGCUUAACACCUGCAAGUCGCACGGUGAAAGAGAGCUUGCUCUCUGGAUCAGUGGCGAACGGGUGAGUAACACGUGAGCAAUCUGCCCCUGACUCUGGGAUAAGCGCUGGAAACGGCGUCUAAUACCGGAUACGAGCUGCGAAGGCAUCUUCAGCAGCUGGAAAGAACUUCGGUCAGGGAUGAGCUCGCGGCCUAUCAGCUAGUUGGUGAGGUAACGGCUCACCAAGGCGUCGACGGGUAGCCGGCCUGAGAGGGUGACCGGCCACACUGGGACUGAGACACGGCCCAGACUCCUACGGGAGGCAGCAGUGGGGAAUAUUGCACAAUGGGCGAAAGCCUGAUGCAGCAACGCCGCGUGAGGGACGACGGCCUUCGGGUUGUAAACCUCUUUUAGCAGGGAAGAAGCGAAAGUGACGGUACCUGCAGAAAAAGCACCGGCUAACUACGUG